This 435-nucleotide ribosomal RNA is filed under the name uncultured bacterium. Its description in RNAcentral is "partial 16S ribosomal RNA". It matches the Rfam family "Bacterial small subunit ribosomal RNA", at positions 29 to 507 of the family's 1533-position model. The record is from RNAcentral.
AGCGAACGCUGGCGGCAGGCUUAACACAUGCAAGUCGAGCGGGCAUCUUCGGAUGUCAGCGGCAGACGGGUGAGUAACACGUGGGAACGUACCCUUCGGUUCGGAACAACUCUGGCAAACUGGAGCUAAUACCGGAUACGCCCUUAUGGGGAAAGGUUUACUGCCGAAGGAUCGGCCCGCGUCUGAUUAGCUAGUUGGUGGGGUAACGGCCUACCAAGGCGACGAUCAGUAGCUGGUCUGAGAGGAUGAUCAGCCACACUGGGACUGAGACACGGCCCAGACUCCUACGGGAGGCAGCAGUGGGGAAUAUUGGACAAUGGGCGCAAGCCUGAUCCAGCCAUGCCGCGUGAGUGAUGAAGGCCUUAGGGUUGUAAAGCUCUUUUGUCCGGGACGAUAAUGACGGUACCGGAAGAAUAAGCCCCGGCUAACUUCGUG